UGAUCCUGGCUCGAAUGAACGCUGGCGGCAGGCCUAACACCUGUAAGUCGAACGGAGUUAUAUUGUAGCUUGCUAUGGUAUAACUUAGUGGCAGACGGGUGAGUAAUGUAUAGGAAUCUACCUAGUAGUACGGAAUAAUUGUUGGAAACGGCAACUAAUACCGUAUACGCCCUACGGGGGAAAAAUUUAUUGCUAUUAGAUGAGCCUAUAUUAGAUUAGCUAGUUGGUGGAGUAAUAGCCUACCAAGGCAAUGAUCUAUAGCUGAUCUGAGAGGAUGAUCAGCCACACUGGAACUGAGAUACGGUCCAGACUCCUACGGGAGGCAGCAGUGGGGAAUAUUGGACAAUGGGCGAAAGCCUGAUCCAGCCAUGCCGCAUGAGUGAAGAAGGCCUUUGGGUUGUAAAGCUCUUUUAGUGAGGAAGAUAAUGACGGUACUCACAGAAGAAGUCCUGGCUAACUCCGUGCCAGCAGCCGCGGUAAUACGGAGAGGGCUAGCGUUAUUCGGAAUUAUUGGGCGUAAAGGGCGCGUAGGCGGAUUAGUAAGUUAAAAGUGAAAUCCCAAGGCUCAACCUUGGAAUUGCUUUUAAAACUGCUAAUCUAGAGAUUGAAAGAGGAUAGAGGAAUUCCUAGUGUAGAGGUGAAAUUCGUAAAUAUUAGGAGGAACACCAGUGGCGAAGGCGUCUAUCUGGUUCAAAUCUGACGCUGAGGCGCGAAGGCGUGGGGAGCAAACAGGAUUAGAUACCCUGGUAGUCCACGCUGUAAACGAUGAAUGUUAAAUAUGGGA
This 784-nucleotide ribosomal RNA is filed under the name uncultured bacterium. RNAcentral's name for it is "bacterial SSU rRNA". It matches the Rfam family "Bacterial small subunit ribosomal RNA", at positions 14 to 827 of the family's 1533-position model. The record is from RNAcentral.